CAGGCAAUACGGGCUGUCGCGCAGCAGGCGUUAAGCGUGCUUCGAGGAAAGUCCGAGCAACGGAGACAACCGUACUUCCUAACGGGAAGGUGCGCAUUCGGGCAAUCGGUGCGCAACAGAAAGUGCCGCAGAAAACAAACCACCCGCUUAAAACGGGUAAGGGUGAAAACGCGGGGUAAGAGCCCACGUGUUCGUAUAGUGAUAUACGGAUAGGCAAACCUUACGGGUUGAAAGAACAAAUAUACCGCCAGCGAAAGCAGCCGCAGGGCUGCUUUUAAAAUCUUGUCUCGGAUUUGGCGGGGGGUAGUUCGAUAGAGCGUGUCAGCAAUGGCUCGCCUAGAUAAAUGACAGUCGCCUGCCGCAACGCAGGUACAGAACUCGGCUUACAGUAUUGCCGUUUUU
This 402-nucleotide RNase P RNA is filed under the name Bacteroidales bacterium. RNAcentral describes it as "RNase P RNA component class A". It matches the Rfam family "Bacterial RNase P class A". From Rfam's summary of the family: Ribonuclease P (RNase P) is a ubiquitous endoribonuclease, found in archaea, bacteria and eukarya as well as chloroplasts and mitochondria. Its best characterised activity is the generation of mature 5'-ends of tRNAs by cleaving the 5'-leader elements of precursor-tRNAs. Cellular RNase Ps are ribonucleoproteins. Lineage: Bacteria; Pseudomonadati; Bacteroidota; Bacteroidia; Bacteroidales. The record is from RNAcentral.